RNAcentral lists this unclassified non-coding RNA (240 nucleotides) under soil metagenome. RNAcentral's name for it is "partial contains 5.8S ribosomal RNA, internal transcribed spacer 2, and large subunit ribosomal RNA". The record is from RNAcentral.
AACGAGGCCGACCUGCGGCUGAGUUACCUGCGGAGGGAUCAUUACCGAGUGCGGGUCCGCGUGGCCCAACCUCCCACCCGUGCCUAUUGUACCCUGUUGCUUCGGCGGGCCCGCCAGCCUUCGGGCUGGCCGCCGGGGGGCGUCUCGCCCCCGGGCCCGUGCCCGCCGGAGACCCCAACAUGAACCCUGUUCUGAAAGCUUGGUGUCUGAGUGUGAUUGUUUGCAAUCAGUUAAAACUUU